Long non-coding RNA from Mesocricetus auratus (golden hamster), 1013 nucleotides. RefSeq lists it as uncharacterized. The transcript is spliced from 2 exons. The record is from RefSeq and is a predicted model, not a curated record. Lineage: Eukaryota; Metazoa; Chordata; Mammalia; Rodentia; Cricetidae.
CGCUGUCGAAGCUCCCGGUCUGGAUGACCACGACCUGAUACAUCUGCAGGCAGAGGGAGAGGACAACCCCGAAUGCACGCUGUGCGUGUGUAGAUCAGAGACAACUCGUGGGAAUUGGUUCUCACCCUCCGCCAUCAAUUCAAAUUAAAACGAAGCAAGCAGUUUGGAUGAUAUCACAGAAUCCGUGAAUUUGGGUUGCAGAUAACUGGCACCUGGUACCCUGGGGUCAGACACAUGACUCACACAUCUCUGGUCUCCAGGGGACCCUGCAUGUGGCACCAUGAAACCUUCAUUUCUCGGAAGACCGGGAGUCAGUGCCUCAUGUCCUGAGUGGCAAGCUGAGGUCUCCCAAGACAUUCCCAGGAGCAUGUAAGAGGUGACUGACAGAGCCUCCAUCACAUCUAAGCGCUGCUUACCACAAACUUGGAGACUCUCCUCUCCUCAAUUCGGGCUGAGGCGAUCUCAAAGAGCAGCUUGACGUGUCUCCAGCCGCUCUUCUCCCUCUGCCAGUGUUCCUGUAGCUCCCUCGUGGUCAUGCUGGAGUUGGAGCUGGGGCUAUCCUGGGCUUCUGGAAGGACAGUGUCUUUAAGGAUUCUGGGGUGAUGACUGGGUCUGCUUGGGAUGGGCGAUCAGAGUUCUGGAAGAGCAUACUCUUCCUCCACCCUCCCUCCUGGAAUCUACCUAGUGUGUUGACCUCAGCUAAUCCAGCGCUUGACUGCUGCUUGUCACGAAGCUCGGUGUGGGAUGUUGCGCCACCCACUCCCAGCCUGCCGAUGGACCAUUUUGUAACCUGGCAAACAGGGACCCAUCCAUGUGCUUCUGUACUCCCUACAGCGUUGACUCCAGGGAGCCACGGAGCCCGUCAGUGCGCAUCGUGUGGUGGAGGAGGAAGCCCUGAGGAGGUCAUGUUUCAGCUUCAGCUCUUACUAUACUAACACUGUCCGGUGUACCUGCCACUCUGCUUUGGAUUCAGCUCCCCUGUUCCCUUGCCUGGAAACCAACAGUGUUUUACA